RNAcentral lists this ribosomal RNA (457 nucleotides) under uncultured bacterium. RNAcentral describes it as "bacterial SSU rRNA". It matches the Rfam family "Bacterial small subunit ribosomal RNA", at positions 340 to 786 of the family's 1533-position model. The record is from RNAcentral.
UACGGAAGGCAGCGAGUGGGGAAUAUUGCACAAUGGGCGAAAGCCUGAUGCAGCUAUGCCGCGUGUAUGAAGAAGGCCUUAGGGUUGUAAAGUACUUUCAUCGGGGAGGAAAAAACAAAACUAAUAAUUUUAUUUCUUGACGUUACCCGAAAAAGAAGCACCGGCUAACUCCGUGCCAGCAGCCGCGGUAAUACGGAGGGUGCUAGCGUUAAUCAGAAUUACUGGGCGUAAAGAGCACGUAGGUGGUUUUUUAAGUCAGAUGUGAAAUCCCUGGGCUUAACCUAGGAACUGCAUUUUGAAACUGAAAUACUAGAGUAUCGUAGAGGGAGGUAGAAUUCUAGGUGUAGCGGUGAAAUGCGUAGAUAUCUGGAGGAAUACCUGUGGCGAAAGCGGCCUCCUAAACGAAUACUGACACUGAGGGUGCGAAAGCGUGGGGAGCAAACAGGGAUUAGAUACC